Long non-coding RNA from Stegodyphus dumicola, 597 nucleotides. The record is from RefSeq and is a predicted model, not a curated record. NCBI's taxonomy places the organism in Eukaryota, Metazoa, Arthropoda, Arachnida, Araneae, Eresidae.
CACUUCACAGCAAUCGCUUUUGAAACCGCUUCCUUACUCUGUCAUAGUAGCUUAGCGUCUGUGUGUUAGGUAGCGAAGACAGACUGUCUGCGUUAUGAUUGACUCGCUUGUUUUAAGAUCCCGAGAAAUGACUAUUUUGGAUUUUGGAAAGCUGUGGAAAUGUAACUCAAGUUAUAAAAGAUGGAUUAUACAAAUAUUGUUGCAAAUACAGAAGAAAUUUUGCUAUAAAAAGUGUCGCAACUGCUUAUUGCUGUGCAGGAGAAGAUCGCCACAUUGUGCUAUUCUAUCUAGACAACAAGCAAAAUACUUGCGACUUUUUCCCAAGCAAAACCCAGUCCAAAGGAAAAAAAAAGAACAACCUGCAAAGAUAUGCCAAAUAUAUUCAAAAUAGAGUAAAAUAUGCGAAACUAUGAGCGAAUAUGGAAGGUGCUUGGCUACCUCCCAGCAUGCUUUGAAUUUUAUCACACUCGUGAGAACUAUUGAAUAAAACAUUGGAUGUAUUAAACUCUUAUAUAUUUAAUAUUUUUUAUUUUUGAGUUUUCUUUAUCAGUUUUGUUAUUUUAUCAUUUCCUUUUUUAAUAAAGUGAAAGAUGACCA